Molecule: long non-coding RNA, 2740 nt
Filed under: Coffea arabica (coffee)
Lineage: Eukaryota; Viridiplantae; Streptophyta; Magnoliopsida; Gentianales; Rubiaceae
Description: long non-coding RNA (CARA_LNC006899)
Source: RNAcentral
UACCACCGAGUGAGAGGAAACAGAGAGAGUGAGGAAAGAAAGCAAGAGUGAAAGAGAGUGAGAGCAAGACCGAGAGAAACUAAGACAUAUUUCUCUCAUCUCCGUACACCAUCAAAAGGGAGGAAAGGAAGCAUUUCUGAUUUUCUCUUGCUUCCAGUGCAACCGAAAGAGUGAGGAGGAGAGAGUUAGACAGUGUUAGCUGCAUUCAUCUCGCUUGUGACCUUAGAACCGUGAGCUAAGACUGAGUACAAAGAGGUGAAACCAGUCUGCAACUCACGUAUCAACUGCAUCAGUGAGGGAACAGAGUGAGAGCUGGUGCAAUCUGGAGGAACCGAAGCUUAAAAACUGGAGCAGUCUGCAACUGUUGAAUUCUAAAGGAAAGGAGGUGAAAAAAUUCUGUAAUAAACCUUUACUUAUUAAGUAUAAGCGAAUAUAUAAGUUACAUGUUAAGUUUAGCAAGGAAAAUGAAUUCUUGACCAAGGAAAAUUCUGAUUUGGGAUUGAAAAGCUGUUGGACUGAAACUGGUAGGAACCGAAAGUUCAUUGGUUAGAGUUGCAGCUUGUUAACAAGUGUAGAAUGGAAAAUAACGUUGGAAAUUCAUGUAACAUAUAUAUCUCAAGUAUUAUAAGAGGUUUAGCUGUAGAAACUUGUGAAAAGUUGGAGAUUUGGUUUGGAACCGAUGGAAGAACCUUGCUGGAAUUUUCCAGCUUCAUCCGAAUGGAGGGAAAUGGAAAAGUUUCAGCUAUCAUUACGAAGAAUGACUCUAAAAUUCUGUAUUAAUCUGUAAUAUGUUGUAUAAUAUCUCUAUUUCUUCAUGCAUGAAAGAUUUGAGUAAAAAAAAUGACGGGUUUAGUGGAAGAAAUUCUUGUCUUUUGCACUGAUUACUGUUUCGAAUUCAACCCUAUGGCCGAGAGAGGAUAUAAACCUUGGUUCAGUUUUGUUCUUUGAUUUUUUUGGCUGAACCAUAUGCUGGAAUUAAGUGUUAUUUGCCUUGGUUUGUGUUGGACAGAAUGUAUACUCAGUGUUUAGUGUUUUAAGCAAGUAAAAGAUGGCAGUUUGUGGAAAUUUUUGAAGUGGUAUUGCUGGAAAAUUGUCUUGCUGACCGAGAGAGUGAAGAAUUGAAACUCUUAUGAUAUUUCGAAAAAAUUCCAGGAUGAUUGGUUGUAAUCUUGUAUAAAACAUCUUCUAACAUCUUGACUCUAUCAUUCACGUUCAUUUUAGUGAAUUUGAGCCCUGAAAAGCUAAUGAAAUCUGAGAGAACUUAAACAACAAAUUGGAUUGGAAAUUGUUUUGGCCGAGAGAGAAGAAAUGAAAAGUUUUCCAGUUCUACUCUUUAAGUUGGAUUAAAAAUGAUAUAAUCUUAGUCUAAAUACUUACAAGACUUUAAAUUUGGUGUAUAUGUUUAUAUUCAUCAUUCUUAGUUAAUAAACUUAAUAAAUCUCGAAGAGAAAUGGAAGAAAGAAUUGCUGGAAUUUCACAUCUUAUUUAGUAAGCUAAGGAACUUGGUUUCUAGUGAUUUAAAAAGCUUAAAACUUCUCUCCUUACACUUUAGAACUUUAGAACUUAUGUUUGGGGUUGUACAUAAAAUUCCUAAACUUAAAAGUGUGAAUCAAAUCAAAUGGGAGUUUUAAGAGUAUUAGACUGCUUGGAUUGGUUGAACUAUGUUUAGAGAAUUUUAAAACUCUAAAUAAACCUAUUAGAAUUCACAUUAAGAAUACCUGAAUGAUUGUAGUUGUAUUUUACCUCAGGAAUUGAGAGUGAUCAAGGGUUUAACCCAAAAAGCGAAGCUUAAUCGACCUUUAACGGUGAGUGUUUUCUGAAUUUAUGUGUUAAACUGCUUAUGUGUACCUAAGUGCAAUUAUAUGGCGAAUGUGCUUAUUAUGAAAUAUUGCUAAGUGAUUCAUUGUGAAGUGUUUUCAAUUGUCCCUCGCAUUCUAAGUCGGGAGUGUACUUUAUCGCACUCGGCUUAGUUGAGCUUGAAGGUUGAUAAUUGAUCAAGUGAUAUUGUAAGUGUGCAUGACUGUAAGCCAUGUGUGUACUUUAUCACACUGGCUGAACUGGGCCCCAAAACCCUCUGUUCAACGGACUAUUCGAGCCAGUAAAGGGCUUGGUCGGGUAGGACGGUAGCUUUGGGUAAGUGUUUCGGUAUACUCGAGUAUUACCAUGGAGUAGCAGAUUACUGAUAUUGAUAUGGCCAUCUAAGUGAGGGAAGUGUUUAUUGUUUUGGAGGUUAUAAGGAGGAGUUCGGCGGAGUGUGUAGUGCAUUAAAGUGGCUCUAAUGCGAGCACCGUAUCCUUUUAAAAAUGAUUGUUCAGUGAAGUGAAGUGCUUCUUCAAUUGCUUAAUGAAAGUGAUUGUACAGUGAAAUGUGCACUACUUGCUUAACUGUACUGAUUUAAGUGCUUAUUGAUUGUUGCUUGCAUGGAAACCUCACGGGCGUAAGGUCACCUUUUAGUUUUGUUUUCCUUACAGGAGUCGGAGAUUGAAGAGUGAUUGGAUUGAACUAGAAAGUUAUUUUGGGAGGAUCCGUCAUUCUGUGUAUAUAGUGUAGUCAUGGUCUCUUUUGAAUUUUGAGACGGCUAAAUCUUUUGUUUGAGUUGGUGUGAUAUUAAGAAUGGAUAUUUAGAACAAGUAUUUUGUUUCUUUUAUUGGACAAAUUUAUGUUUCAAGUUUAUUGGAGUUGUACUUAAGAGUGAAUGUUUAGUUGUUCAAUGAUAAUGUUAUCUCUGAAAUUAAUGUGA